AUGCUGUGUAGGAUGUAUCUAAAUACAUCAUUCUGAAGACAGAGAUGUAGAAGUUGGCAUG
This 61-nucleotide small nucleolar RNA is filed under the name Pteropus vampyrus (large flying fox). Its description in RNAcentral is "Small nucleolar RNA SNORD63 (ENSPVAG00000029897.1)". The record is from RNAcentral. Lineage: Eukaryota; Metazoa; Chordata; Mammalia; Chiroptera; Pteropodidae.